Lutra lutra (Eurasian river otter) is the source of this 1179-nucleotide long non-coding RNA. RefSeq lists it as uncharacterized. Lineage: Eukaryota; Metazoa; Chordata; Mammalia; Carnivora; Mustelidae. The record is from RefSeq and is a predicted model, not a curated record. The transcript is spliced from 3 exons.
UGCACUGGAAGAAGCCACAAAUUUGGCAUCUCCUGCAGGACCAUAUUCUUCACGGAAGCUAUUAAAAAUCUAUGCCAAGGAAACAUUCCUCAGAUGCAAGUUUUGGCAACCUGGAUGGGAUUUUCACUGGCUAGACCCUACUGGCUCUGGGGCUGCUGCACCCAAGAGAUCAUGGGAACUGACAGAAAGCUGGCAGAAGUCUUUUGAUUUGGAACCAGUGAGAACUAAGCCUGCCCUUUUUCCUGGAGCUCUGCAGACUGAAGCUAGAUGACUUGGUAUGAGCUUCAGUGAAAUCAUCACAAGAGCUUAUCUUUAGACAAUCUGAGUGCUUGUUCCUGUGUGGGCCCUUAGAGUUUACCUGAACACCCAAUGACAUCAUCAGAAACAUUCAAACUGCAAAUGAUGCUUUGAGCCUUACAUCUGUCAAUGGCAUGUUCCGUUUCUGGCAUCAGUUCUUGAGCUUAGUCAAGAAAGAAUUCAGAGCCAAACUCUUAGGUAAGCAAGUGUUAAUAGCAGUUUAAGCAAAAGUACACCCUCAAGAUAGGAACGUGUGCAGGCCCAGAGGUGGGAGCUGCAUGGGGGCGGGGAGUCAGUGUUGUCUUUUCUUUUUAUGUUUGGAUAGGUUAUGACUUAUAACUAGGGCAGUUUCUGACUCAGGUCACAGCCAAAUCAUAGAGGGGACCUCCCCUACUAGUUGGGAGGGGGAGUUUUGGCCCUAUAUGGUCCUUGUCUGAACUGUCCUGGCAGCCAUUUUCUGCAAGGUGGGUUAAAACCACAAUGUGAAUGUAUUAUAAUGAAGCCAUAGGUUACUAUAGGGCAGUGGUCAUUCGGAAGAACACACAGAUAUCCCUUGGGGUCUGUCCAGGCUGUUUGGAGCUUGGCUUCCACACCCUUUCAUAGGCUGGAAAGCAUUUGUUUCCUACUCAUAACGUGCUAACCGCCUACUCUAUCACAUCUAGAAAUCUCUUCUCUUGCCUGCCCUCAGGACUCAGACUGGCUUUAUAGUCAACUCCAUUCAUUAACUUUUCAUUUUCUUUUGCUUCUACAGAAAUGCCUUAUUAAAUACCCAAUUUCUCACACAAUAUAGACCUAACUUUGGGAGUCUUUGCAAGGAAAAACCUGCAAGACCCACCUCCUGAAAUGAAACACAACCAUUACACUAAACUGACCUCUUCUUUG